UACAGAGGUCCCAAGCGUUGUUCGGAUUUAUUGGGCGUAAAGGGUGCGUAGGCGGCAAUGUAAGUUGGGCGUGAAAUCCUGGGGCUCAACCUCAGAAUUGCGUUCAAUACUGCAUUGCUAGGGCGCUGUAGAGGAGAUUGGAAUUUACGGUGUAGCAGUGAAAUGCGUAGAUAUCGUAAGGAAGACCAGUGGCGAAAGCGAAUCUCUGGGCAGCAGCCGACGCUGAGGCACGAAGGCCAGGGGAGCAAACGGG
RNAcentral lists this ribosomal RNA (253 nucleotides) under uncultured bacterium. RNAcentral describes it as "partial 16S ribosomal RNA". It matches the Rfam family "Bacterial small subunit ribosomal RNA", at positions 524 to 776 of the family's 1533-position model. The record is from RNAcentral.